CUUGGAAAGUUCCUAGGGCUACACAAUUCCCACUCCUUUUGAAGCAGAUAAUUAGCAGAGACAUCCUGAUUUAAUUCAUUUCCGAAUGAGGUCCUGGAAAAUCCUGAAUGUUUUGAAAGAAAGUAGCAGAAAAUAGAGGACAACUCUGACCCCCUCAUGUCUCCAAGCCAACUGUUUCCUCCUUCUCUCCUACUCAUUUCAUAUUUCCCAUAUGAGAGAUGGAAGCCCUACAAGUUUCCUUCUAGCUUAGAAGACACCACCCUUGUUGUAAUGUGUUGUAUUGGUGACUGGGUAGUUCCAGGGGCUAAUGAGGAGAUAUAAAAUCACAGUGAACCCAAGUGACUAUUUCGAAUCUAACCCAAGUAAGUACUGUUCAUUUGAUCUUUAAUCUUGUAUCUGAUCAAAGUAGCUAUCGUUCAUUUAGUCUU
This 428-nucleotide long non-coding RNA is filed under the name Lepidothrix coronata (blue-crowned manakin). RNAcentral describes it as "lncRNA (ENSLCOG00000002250.1)". The record is from RNAcentral. Lineage: Eukaryota; Metazoa; Chordata; Aves; Passeriformes; Pipridae.